Molecule: long non-coding RNA, 2138 nt
Filed under: Homo sapiens (human)
Lineage: Eukaryota; Metazoa; Chordata; Mammalia; Primates; Hominidae
Description: HSALNT0177311
Source: RNAcentral
CCCGGUGCCCCUGGUGGCCGGAGCAGGGGUGCACCUGCUGCUCACCUUCAUCCUCUUUUUCUGGGCCCCUGUGCCUCGGGUCCUGCAACACAGCUGGAUCCUCUAUGUGGCAGCUGCCCUUUGGGGUGUGGGCAGUGCCCUGAACAAGACUGGACUCAGCACACUCCUGGGAAUCUUGUACGAAGACAAGGAGAGACAGGACUUCAUCUUCACCAUCUACCACUGGUGGCAGGCUGUGGCCAUCUUCACCGUGUACCUGGGCUCGAGCCUGCACAUGAAGGUGAGACUGGGCAGGGUUGGGGGCCCCAUGCCCAAUGACAGGUACUUCCUUAGCCCCUGCCCUGGCUUCACAGCUUCCUAAAUGCCACCCCUUCCCAAGCCAGUCUCUGGGCCAAGGCCCCAUUCCUGCAGCCCACUGGGUGGCCCCCAACUCAGCACCCCACUUACUGGCCCACCUCCAGCCAGUCUCAGUUUGCCCAUCUCUGAGGGGAUUUGUGGGUGCAUCACAGCCAUCCUGUGGGCUGUUUGGUACCUUGUUCUCCAGAUGUUGGGUCUGUCUCUCUUCAUGGCCUGAAGGGGAGCAGGCUCCUCAUGCUCUGCUCACAAAAAAUGGUGGCUCGGUCUAGCAAGUCCCAGUUGCUAAACAUUUUUUAAAAAUAGAACUAAAGGCCGGGCGCGGUGGCUCACGCCUGUAAUCCCAGCACUUUGGGAGGCCGAGGCGAGUGGAUUGCCUGAGGUAGGGAGUUUGAGACCAGCCUGACCGACAUGGUGAAACCUCGUCUCUACUAAAAAUACAAAAAUUAGCCGGGCGUGGUGGCAGGUGCCUGUAAUCACAGCUACUCAGGAGGCUGAGGCAGGAGAAUCACUUGAACUGGGAGGCGGAGGUUGCAGUUAGCCGAGACGGGGCGUUGGCACUCCAUCCAGCCUAAGCAACAAGAGCGAAACUCCGUCUCAAAAUAAAAAUAAAAAUAGAACUAAAAAUAGCAGGGAGUGGGCUGGCAGUAGUGGCUCACGCCUGUAAUCCCAGCAUUUUGAGACGCUGAGGUGGGGGUUCUGAGAUCUGGAGUUCGAGACCAGCCUGGGUAACAGGCUGUGAAACUCUGUCUCUACUAAAAACACAAAAAUUAGCUGGGCAUGGUGGCACGUCCCUGUGAUCCCAGCUACUCUGGAGGCUGAGGCACAAGAAUGGCUUGAACCUGGGAGAUGGAGGUUGCAGUGAGCCAAGAUCGCGCCACCGCACUUCAGCCUGGAGGACAGAGCGAGACUCUGUCUUCCAAAAAAAAAAAAAAGGAAAAAAAAAAAAGAAAAGCAGUGAGUGGGCUGGGCAUGGUGGCUCACGCCUGUAAUCCCAACACUUUGGGAGGCUGAGGCAGGAGGAUUGCUUGAGGCCAGGAGUUCAAGACCAGCCUGGGCAACAUAGGAGACCCUGUCUCUACAAAAAAUUUAAAAAAUAGCUGGGCGUAGUGGCGUGUGCCUGUAGUUCCAGCUACUUGGGAGACUGAAGUGGGAGGAUGGCUUGAGCCUGGAAGAUUGAGGCUGAAGUGAGCGUGCCACUGCGCUCCAGCAGUGGGUGGGGGAAGGGAGGGAGGGGGCGCGGUGGGGAAACGGAGCGACCGUGUCUGGAAAAAAGAAAAGAGCAGGAAGUAUGCAUACAGAUAUGUGUGUAUGUACUGGGCUAUGGUGUGAAAUCAUUCCUGACUGCGGGUUAUAGUCAAAACCCCAUGAAAAGCAUCACUACAGCCCACGGGUGUGUCAGGGACACAGUGUUGUGAGCCCUGGGAAGGCAGGGCCUGUGGCCAGCACUUUAUCAACACUGGCGCAUGCACCCUAUGAGGCAAAGGGAUUUGCAUUGUCCCCUUACAGUGUGGGACACUGAGGUCGCCAGGGGCGUGGCGACUGUAAGGGACAGUGCUGGAUGUGAGCCUCGCCUGCAGGAGGCGGUCCAGGAAGCAUGGGUGGAGGGGCUGGAGAAGUUGAGGGCCGCGUGGCCCGGGAGGCUCCCGGAGGAGGGAAGGGCCUAUCUCAGCGAGGGGCAUAGGCGGGGAAGGUGCGGGGCGAGGCGGCCGCGGGUCCCUGGCAUCCCUCUCCUUACGCCCAGGCUAAGCUGGCGGUGCUGCUGGUGACGCUGGUGGCGGCCG